UUAAGUGACUAAGCGUACACGGUGGAUGCCCUGGCAGUCAGAGGCGAUGAAGGACGUGCUAAUCUGCGAAAAGCGUCGGUAAGGUGAUAUGAACCGUUAUAACCGGCGAUGUCCGAAUGGGGAAACCCAGUGCAAUUCGUUGCACUAUCGUUAACUGAAUACAUAGGUUAACGAGGCGAACCGGGGGAACUGAAACAUCUAAGUACCCCGAGGAAAAGAAAUCAACCGAGAUUCCCCCAGUAGCGGCGAGCGAACGGGGAGCAGCCCAGAGUCUGAAUCAGCUUGUGUGUUAGUGGAACGGUCUGGAAAGUCCGACGGUACAGGGUGAUAGUCCCGUACACCAAAAUGCACAGGUUGUGAACUCGAAGAGUAGGGCGGGACACGUGGUAUCCUGUCUGAAUAUGGGGGGACCAUCCUCCAAGGCUAAAUACUCCUGACUGACCGAUAGUGAACCAGUACCGUGAGGGAAAGGCGAAAAGAACCCCGGCGAGGGGAGUGAAAAAGAACCUGAAACCGUGUACGUACAAGCAGUGGGAGCACCUUCGGGUGUGACUGCGUACCUUUUGUAUAAUGGGUCAGCGACUUAUAUUCUGUAGCAAGGUUAACCGUAUAGGGGAGCCGCAGGGAAACCGAGUCUUAACUGGGCGUUAAGUUGCAGGGUAUAGACCCGAAACCCGGUGAUCUAGCCAUGGGCAGGUUGAAGGUUGGGUAACACUAACUGGAGGACCGAACCGACUAAUGUUGAAAAAUUAGCGGAUGACUUGUGGCUGGGGGUGAAAGGCCAAUCAAACCGGGAGAUAGCUGGUUCUCCCCGAAAGCUAUUUAGGUAGCGCCUCGUGAACUCAUCUUCGGGGGUAGAGCACUGUUUCGGCUAGGGGGUCAUCCCGACUUACCAACCCGAUGCAAACUACGAAUACCGAAGAAUGUUAUCACGGGAGACACACGGCGGGUGCUAACGUCCGUCGUGAAGAGGGAAACAACCCAGACCGCCAGCUAAGGUCCCAAAGUCAUGGUUAAGUGGGAAACGAUGUGGGAAGGCACAGACAGCCAGGAUGUUGGCUUAGAAGCAGCCAUCAUUUAAAGAAAGCGUAAUAGCUCACUGGUCGAGUCGGCCUGCGCGGAAGAUGUAACGGGGCUAAACCAUGCACCGAAGCUGCGGCAGCGACACUAUGUGUUGUUGGGUAGGGGAGCGUUCUGUAAGCCUGCGAAGGUGACCUGUGAGGGUUGCUGGAGGUAUCAGAAGUGCGAAUGCUGACAUAAGUAACGAUAAAGCGGGUGAAAAGCCCGCUCGCCGGAAGACCAAGGGUUCCUGUCCAACGUUAAUCGGGGCAGGGUGAGUCGACCCCUAAGGCGAGGCCGAAAGGCGUAGUCGAUGGGAAACAGGUUAAUAUUCCUGUACUUGGUGUUACUGCGAAGGGGGGACGGAGAAGGCUAUGUUAGCCGGGCGACGGUUGUCCCGGUUUAAGCAUGUAGGCUGGUUGUCCAGGCAAAUCCGGAUAAUCAAGGCUGAGGUGUGAUGACGAGGCACUACGGUGCUGAAGUAACAAAUGCCCUGCUUCCAGGAAAAGCCUCUAAGCAUCAGGUAACAUCAAAUCGUACCCCAAACCGACACAGGUGGUCAGGUAGAGAAUACCAAGGCGCUUGAGAGAACUCGGGUGAAGGAACUAGGCAAAAUGGUGCCGUAACUUCGGGAGAAGGCACGCUGGUGUGUAGGUGAAGUCCCUGCGGAUGGAGCUGAGACCAGUCGAAGAUACCAGCUGGCUGCAACUGUUUAUUAAAAACACAGCACUGUGCAAACACGAAAGUGGACGUAUACGGUGUGACGCCUGCCCGGUGCCGGAAGGUUAAUUGAUGGGGUUAUCCGUAAGGAGAAGCUCUUGAUCGAAGCCCCGGUAAACGGCGGCCGUAACUAUAACGGUCCUAAGGUAGCGAAAUUCCUUGUCGGGUAAGUUCCGACCUGCACGAAUGGCGUAAUGAUGGCCAGGCUGUCUCCACCCGAGACUCAGUGAAAUUGAACUCGCUGUGAAGAUGCAGUGUACCCGCGGCAAGACGGAAAGACCCCGUGAACCUUUACUAUAGCUUGACACUGAACAUUGAGCCUUGAUGUGUAGGAUAGGUGGGAGGCUUUGAAGCGUGGACGCCAGUCUGCGUGGAGCCAACCUUGAAAUACCACCCUUUAAUGUUUGAUGUUCUAACGUUGGCCCCUUACCGGGGUUGCGGACAGUGUCUGGUGGGUAGUUUGACUGGGGCGGUCUCCUCCCAAAGCGUAACGGAGGAGCACGAAGGUUAGCUAAUCCUGGUCGGACAUCAGGAGGUUAGUGCAAUGGCAUAAGCUAGCUUGACUGCGAGCGUGACGGCGCGAGCAGGUGCGAAAGCAGGUCAUAGUGAUCCGGUGGUUCUGAAUGGAAGGGCCAUCGCUCAACGGAUAAAAGGUACUCCGGGGAUAACAGGCUGAUACCGCCCAAGAGUUCAUAUCGACGGCGGUGUUUGGCACCUCGAUGUCGGCUCAUCACAUCCUGGGGCUGAAGUAGGUCCCAAGGGUAUGGCUGUUCGCCAUUUAAAGUGGUACGCGAGCUGGGUUUAGAACGUCGUGAGACAGUUCGGUCCCUAUCUGCCGUGGGCGCUGGAGAAUUGAGGGGGCUGCUCCUAGUACGAGAGGACCGGAGUGGACGCAUCACUGGUGUUCGGGUUGUCAUGCCAAUGGCACUGCCCGGUAGCUAAAUGCGGAAGAGAUAAGUGCUGAAAGCAUCUAAGCACGAAACUUGCCCCGAGAUGAGUUCUCCCUGAGACUUUAAGUCUCCUGAAGGAACGUUGAAGACGACGACGUUGAUAGGCCGGGUGUGUAAGCGCAGCGAUGCGUUGAGCUAACCGGUACUAAUGAACCGUGAGGCUUAACCUU
RNAcentral lists this ribosomal RNA (2899 nucleotides) under Klebsiella pneumoniae. Its description in RNAcentral is "23S ribosomal RNA". It matches the Rfam family "Bacterial large subunit ribosomal RNA". Lineage: Bacteria; Pseudomonadati; Pseudomonadota; Gammaproteobacteria; Enterobacterales; Enterobacteriaceae. The record is from RNAcentral.